GAUGAACGCUGGCGGCGUGCCUAAUACAUGCAAGUCGAGCGAACGGACGAGAAGCUUGCUUCUCUGAUGUUAGCGGCGGACGGGUGAGUAACACGUGGAUAACCUACCUAUAAGACUGGGAUAACUUCGGGAAACCGUAGCUAAUACCGGAUAAUAUUUUGAACCGCAUGGUUCAAAAGUGAAAGACGGUCUUGCUGUCACUUAUAGAUGGAUCCGCGCUGCAUUAGCUAGUUGGUAAGGUAACGGCUUACCAAGGCAACGAUGCAUAGCCGACCUGAGAGGGUGAUCGGCCACACUGGAACUGAGACACGGUCCAGACUCCUACGGGAGGCAGCAGUAGGGAAUCUUCCGCAGUGGGCGAAAGCCUGACGGAGCAACGCCGCGUGAGUGAUGAAGGUCUUCGGAUCGUAAAACUCUGUUAUUAGGGAAGAACAUAUGUGUAAGUAACUGUGCACAUCCUGACGGUACCUAAUCAGAAAGCCACGGCUAACUACGU
This 496-nucleotide ribosomal RNA is filed under the name uncultured bacterium. Its description in RNAcentral is "partial 16S ribosomal RNA". It matches the Rfam family "Bacterial small subunit ribosomal RNA", at positions 28 to 506 of the family's 1533-position model. The record is from RNAcentral.